Molecule: long non-coding RNA, 401 nt
Organism: Prunus dulcis (almond)
Lineage: Eukaryota; Viridiplantae; Streptophyta; Magnoliopsida; Rosales; Rosaceae
Exons: 3
Source: RefSeq, a predicted model, not a curated record
AUGAGUAGUUCUGGAGAUAGUUCACAAGAAGGGCUCAAUGUUGACUUGGGGGUCUAGAGGGAGAUGGUUCUGCAAGUGGUACUGGCAAUGACGCAAAGCAAGGUCGGGGUCAAGGGAUAUGCAACUGGUGUCUAAAUAACAUGAGAAAAAGUAUCAGACUCCAGCAAACUUGAUGGCACCAUUGAAUUUUGUCCUGAACAGCAGCCUUUGAUUCAUGUCUUCAACAAUGUAUGUAUAAAUGAAGAAUAAUGAAAAAUUGUGGAGAAGUUUCAAGAGUGAUUUGAAGUAAGCUUAUUAUAAACCUUUCGAAGGAAGUGAAAGACGGUGGCAAUGUGGGGAUUCUCGUGUAGACCCAAACCAGUGGCGGCUGUUGUUUGAGCAUUAGGAAAAAGAUGAGACUA